Molecule: ribosomal RNA, 610 nt
Filed under: Agnotecous minoris
Lineage: Eukaryota; Metazoa; Arthropoda; Insecta; Orthoptera; Gryllidae
Description: partial 28S ribosomal RNA
Source: RNAcentral
AAACUCAGCCCCGCCCCGCGAACCGCUCCGGCGGGUCGGGCGCCGCGGCGCCGCGGGGGGCUCUCGCGGGCCCCUCGCGGCGAUUCAGCGGGUCAAGCCCGGCCGUCUUGCCGUGCGCGCGCGGGCCGCCAAGGUCCGCGCGUGAGUCGUUCGCCCGGGCGGGGUGCACUUUUCCUUCGACAUAGUGCGUCGCGAUCCGUUGGUCGGCGGCCUUAGGGCCCGGUCGUCUCCUCGCCCGGCCGCGACGUCCCGUGGGGCGGUAAACGGUCGGGCGAGAGCGACCGGUGUGCGCGUUCAAUGAGCUGGCAGCUGUGAGGCGCCGGCGCGCGCGUCCCGGCCCGCCGUGUAAGACCGGUUCCGUAGGGGUUCCGGCAAUAACGACGGUCAUAGAAUUCGCGGAAGACGAACUGACCGUCCGUCCCUUCACGGGGGCGGGCGGCGGGUCCCUCCGGAUCUGAGCGUUGCUCAUCCUCGAAACCUGGCCGCGGAGGCGACAAUCCGGUAGGCGCCGCCUUAGCCGGCGACGCUCCGGGGAACGUCCCUCCGACCUGAACAGGCGUGGAUGGAGAGCGGAAGCUCACCGCCGCCACGGCCGGGGAGGUGACAGGAG